CAGUAGCCACGGGAAUACAGAGGGUGCAAGCGUUAAUCGGAAUUACUGGGCGUAAAGCGCGCGUAGGUGGUUUGUUAAGUUGGAUGUGAAAGCCCCGGGCUCAACCUGGGAACUGCAUCCAAAACUGGCAAGCUAGAGUACGGUAGAGGGUGGUGGAAUUUCCUGUGUAGCGGUGAAAUGCGUAGAUAUAGGAAGGAACACCAGUGGCGAAGGCGACCACCUGGACUGAUACUGACACUGAGGUGCGAAAGCGUGGGGAGCAAACAGGAUUAGAUACCCCGGUAGUUCCUGUCUCUUAUAC
This 301-nucleotide ribosomal RNA is filed under the name uncultured bacterium. RNAcentral's name for it is "partial 16S ribosomal RNA". It matches the Rfam family "Bacterial small subunit ribosomal RNA", at positions 509 to 807 of the family's 1533-position model. The record is from RNAcentral.